RNAcentral lists this ribosomal RNA (506 nucleotides) under uncultured bacterium. Its description in RNAcentral is "partial 16S ribosomal RNA". It matches the Rfam family "Bacterial small subunit ribosomal RNA", at positions 28 to 507 of the family's 1533-position model. The record is from RNAcentral.
GACGAACGCUGGCGGCGUGCUUAACACAUGCAAGUCGAACGGUGAAGGGACUGGUUUUGCUGGUCCUGGAUGAGUGGCGAACGGGUGAGUAACACGUGAGUAACCUGCCCCCUUCUUCUGGAUAACCGCAUGAAAGUGUGGCUAAUACGGGAUAUUCUGGGUCUGUCGCAUGGUGGGCCUGGGAAAGAUUGCGCCUUUUUUGGUGUUUUUGGUGUGGGAUGGGCUCGCGGCCUCUCAGCUUGUUGGUGGGGUGAUGGCCUACCAAGGCGGUGACGGGUAGCCGGCCUGAGCGGGUGGACGGUCACACUGGGACAGAGACACGGGCCAGACUGCGACGGGAGGCAGCAGUGGGGAAUAUUGCACAAUGGGCGCAAGGCUGAUGCAGCGACGCCGCGUGAGGGAUGGAGGCCUUGGGGUUGUGAACCUCUUUCGCCAGUGAAGCAGGCGUGCCUCUUUUUGUGGGUGGGUUGACGGUAGCUGGAGAAGAAGCGCCGGCUAACUACGUG